RNAcentral lists this ribosomal RNA (496 nucleotides) under uncultured bacterium. Its description in RNAcentral is "partial 16S ribosomal RNA". It matches the Rfam family "Bacterial small subunit ribosomal RNA", at positions 29 to 507 of the family's 1533-position model. The record is from RNAcentral.
ACGCACGCUGGCGGCGUGCCUAAUACAUGCAAGUUGAGCGAUGAAGAUUGGUGCUUGCACCCAUUUGACGAGCAGCGAACGGGUGAGUAACGCGUGGGGAAUCUGCCUUUGAGCGGGGGACAACAUUUGGAAACGAAUGCUAAUACCGCAUAAUAACUUUAAACAUAAGUUUUAAGUUUGAAAGAUGCAAUUGCAUCACUCAAAGAUGAUCCCGCGUUGUAUUAGCUAGUUGGUGAGGUAAAGGCUCACCAAGGCGAUGAUACAUAGCCGACCUGAGAGGGUGAUCGGCCACAUUGGGACUGAGACACGGCCCAAACUCCUACGGGAGGCAGCAGUAGGGAAUCUUCGGCAAUGGACGAAAGUCUGACCGAGCAACGCCGCGUGAGUGAAGAAGGUUUUCGGAUCGUAAAACUCUGUUGGUAGAGAAGAACGUUGGUGAGAGUGGAAAGCUCAUCAAGUGACGGUAACUACCCAGAAAGGGACGGCUAACUACGUG